This 460-nucleotide ribosomal RNA is filed under the name uncultured bacterium. RNAcentral describes it as "partial 16S ribosomal RNA". It matches the Rfam family "Bacterial small subunit ribosomal RNA", at positions 338 to 795 of the family's 1533-position model. The record is from RNAcentral.
CCUACGGGUGGCAGCAGUGAGGAAUAUUGGUCAAUGGACGAGAGUCUGAACGAGCCACGUAGCGUGAAGGAUGACUGUCCUAUGGGUUGUAAACUUCUUUUAUAUGGGAGUAAAAUGUUCCACGUGUGGGAUUUUGUAUGUACCAUAUGAAUACGGAACGGCUAACUCCGUGCCAGCAGCCGCGGUAAUACGGUGGAUCCGAGCGUUAUCCGGAUUUAUUGGGUUUAAAGGGAGCGUAGGUGGAUUGUUAAGUCAGUUGUGAAAGUUUGCGGUUCAACCGUAAAAGUGCAGUUGAAACUGGCAGUCUUGAGUACAGUAGAGGUGGGUGGAAUUCGUGGUGUAGCGGUGAAAUGCUUAGAUAUCACGAAGAACUCCGAUGGCGAAGGCAGUUCACUGGACUGCAACUGACACUGAGGCUCGAAAGUGUGGGUAGCAAACAGGAUUAGAUACCCGUGUAGUC